UACGAAGGGGGCUAGCGUUGCUCGGAUUGACUGGGCGUAAAGGGCUCGUAGGCGGCCAACUAAGUCAGACGUGAAAUCCCUCGGCUUAGCCGGGGAACUGCGUCUGAUACUGGAUGGCUCGAGUUUGGGAGAGGGAUGCGGAAUUCCAGGUGUAGCGGUGAAAUGCGUAGAUAUCUGGAGGAACACCGGUGGCGAAGGCGGCAUCCUGGACCAACACUGACGCUGAUGAGCGAAAGCCAGGGGAGCAAACGGG
Molecule: ribosomal RNA, 253 nt
Filed under: uncultured bacterium
Lineage: Bacteria
Description: partial 16S ribosomal RNA
Rfam family: Bacterial small subunit ribosomal RNA
Source: RNAcentral